CCACGCAGUAAACGAUGAUCACUAGCUGUUUGCGAUACACUGUAAGCGGCACAGCGAAAGCGUUAAGUGAUCCACCUGGGGAGUACGCCGGCAACGGUGAAACUCAAAGGAAUUGACGGGGGCCCGCACAAGCGGAGGAACAUGUGGUUUAAUUCGAUGAUACGCGAGGAACCUUACCCGGGUUUGAACGCAUUCGGACCGAGGUGGAAACACCUUUUCUAGCAAUAGCCGUUUGCGAGGUGCUGCAUGGUUGU
This 254-nucleotide ribosomal RNA is filed under the name uncultured bacterium. RNAcentral's name for it is "partial 16S ribosomal RNA". It matches the Rfam family "Bacterial small subunit ribosomal RNA", at positions 795 to 1052 of the family's 1533-position model. The record is from RNAcentral.